CUAAGAAUCUUCCGCAAUGGACGAAAGUCUGACGGAGCGACGUCGCGUGGGUGAUGAAGGCGGAAACGUUGUAAAGCCCUUUUAUGGAUGAGGAAUAAGCUUUGGAGGGAAUGCCAGAGUGAUGACGGUAAUCCAUGAAUAAGCCCCGGCUAAUUACGUGCCAGCAGCCGCGGUAACACGUAUGGGGCGAGCGUUGUUCGGAAUUAUUGGGCGUAAAGGGUAUGCAGGCGGUUUGAUAAGUCUGAUGUGUAAGACCUUGGCUUAACCAAGGGAGCGCGUUGGAAACUGUUGAGCUAGAGUACAGGAAGGGGAGUUGGAAUUCCAGGUGUAGGGGUGAAAUCUGUAGAUAUCUGGAAGAACAUCAGUGGCGAAGGCGAACUCCUGGCCAUGUACUGACGCU
RNAcentral lists this ribosomal RNA (400 nucleotides) under uncultured bacterium. RNAcentral describes it as "bacterial SSU rRNA". It matches the Rfam family "Bacterial small subunit ribosomal RNA", at positions 355 to 747 of the family's 1533-position model. The record is from RNAcentral.